UGGGGAAUAUUGCACAAUGGGCGCAAGCCUGAUGCAGCCAUGCCGCGUGUGUGAAGAAGGCCUUCGGGUUGUAAAGCACUUUCAGCGAGGAGGAAGGUGGUGAACUUAAUACGUUCAUCAAUUGACGUUACUCGCAGAAGAAGCACCGGCUAACUCCGUGCCAGCAGCCGCGGUAAUACGGAGGGUGCAAGCGUUAAUCGGAAUUACUGGGCGUAAAGCGCACGCAGGCGGUUUGUUAAGUCAGAUGUGAAAUCCCCGGGCUCAACCUGGGAACUGCAUUUGAAACUGGCAAGCUAGAGUCUCGUAGAGGGGGGUAGAAUUCCAGGUGUAGCGGUGAAAUGCGUAGAGAUCUGGAGGAAUACCGGUGGCGAAGGCGGCCCCCUGGACGAAGACUGACGCUCAGGUGCGAAAGCGUGGGGAGCAAACAGGAUUAGAUACCCCUGGUAGUCCACGCUGUAAACGAUGUCGAUUUUGGAGGUUGUGCCCUUGAGGCGUGGCUUCCGGAGCUAACGCGUUAAAGUCGACCGCCUGGGGGAGUACGGCCGCAAGGUUAAAACUCAAAUGAAUUGACGGGGUC
Molecule: ribosomal RNA, 577 nt
Filed under: uncultured bacterium
Lineage: Bacteria
Description: partial 16S ribosomal RNA
Rfam family: Bacterial small subunit ribosomal RNA
Source: RNAcentral